This 203-nucleotide ribosomal RNA is filed under the name Vibrio parahaemolyticus. RNAcentral describes it as "partial 16S ribosomal RNA". It matches the Rfam family "Bacterial small subunit ribosomal RNA", at positions 1340 to 1533 of the family's 1533-position model. The record is from RNAcentral. Lineage: Bacteria; Pseudomonadati; Pseudomonadota; Gammaproteobacteria; Vibrionales; Vibrionaceae.
AAUCGUGGAUCAGAAUGCCACGGUGAAUACGUUCCCGGGCCUUGUACACACCGCCCGUCACACCAUGGGAGUGGGCUGCAAAAGAAGUAGGUAGUUUAACCUUCGGGGGGACGCUUACCACUUUGUGGUUCAUGACUGGGGUGAAGUCGUAACAAGGUAGCGCUAGGGGAACCUGGCGCUGGAUCACCUCCUUAAACGAUGAU